UACGUAGGGGGCAAGCGUUGUCCGGAUUUAUUGGGCGUAAAGAGCUCGUAGGCGGUUUGGUAAGUCUGGUGUGAAAUCUCCACGCUCAACGUGGAGGGGCCACCCGAUACUGCCAUGACUGGAGUCCGGUAGAGGAGUGUGGAAUUCCCGGUGUAGCGGUGAAAUGCGUAGAUAUCAGGAGGAACACCGGCGGUGUAGACGGCUGUCUGGACAGCAACUGACGCUGAGACACGAAAGCGUGGGGAGCAAACAGG
RNAcentral lists this ribosomal RNA (254 nucleotides) under uncultured bacterium. Its description in RNAcentral is "partial 16S ribosomal RNA". It matches the Rfam family "Bacterial small subunit ribosomal RNA", at positions 524 to 776 of the family's 1533-position model. The record is from RNAcentral.